This 1433-nucleotide ribosomal RNA is filed under the name Homo sapiens (human). Its description in RNAcentral is "SSU rRNA". It matches the Rfam family "Eukaryotic small subunit ribosomal RNA", at positions 3 to 1383 of the family's 1831-position model. The record is from RNAcentral. Lineage: Eukaryota; Metazoa; Chordata; Mammalia; Primates; Hominidae.
CUUGGUUGAUCCUACCAGUACCAUAUGCUUGUCUCAAAGAUUAUGCCAUACAUGUCUAAGUAGGCAGGGCCGGUACAGUGAAACUGCGAAUGGCUCAUUAAAUCAGUUAUGGUUCUUUUGGUCGCUCGCUCCUCUCCUACUUGGAAAACUGUGGUAAUUCUAGAGCUAAUGCAUGCCGAAGGGUGCUGACCCCCUUCGCGGGGAAGAUGCCUGCAUUUAUCAGAUCAAAACCAACCCGGUCAGCCCCUCUCCGGCCCCUGCCUAGGGGUCGAGUGCCACCGGCUUUGGUGACUCUAGAUAGCCUCGGGCCAAUCGCAUGCCCCCCUGUGGCAGCAACGACCCAUUCGAACGUCUGCCCUAUCAACUUUCGAUGGUAGUCGCUGUGCCUACCAAGGUGACCACGGGUGAAGGAGAAUCAGGGUUCGAUUCUGGAGAGGGAGCCUGAGAAAUGGCUACCACAUUCAAGGAAGGCAGCAGGCAUGCAAAUUACCCACUCCUGACUCGAGGAGGUAGUGAUGAAACAUAACAAUACAGGACUCUUUCGAGGUCCUGUAAUUGGAAUGAGUCCACUUUAAAUCCUUUAACGAAGAUCCAUUGGAGGGCAAGUUUAGUGCCAGCAGCCGCGGUAAUUCCAGCUCCAAUAGCGUAUAUUAAAGUUGCUGCAGUUAAAAAGCUCCUAGUUGGAUCUUGGGAGCGGGCGGGCAGUCCGCCAUGAGGCGAGCCACUGCCCGUCCCCGCCCCUUGCCUCUUGGCGCCCCCUCGAUGCUCUUAGCUGAGUGUUCCGCGGCCCAAAGCGUUUACUUUGAAAAAAUUAGAGUGUUCAAAGCAGGUCCAAGCCGCCUGGAUACCGCAGCUAGGAAUAAUGGAAUAGGACCGCGGUUCUAUUUUGUUGGUUUAUGGAACUGAGGCCAUGAUUAAGAGGGACAGCUGGGGGCAUUUGUAUUGCACCGCUAGAGGUGAAAUUCUUGGACCGGCGCAGUUUGGACCAGAGUGAAAGCAUUUGCCAAGAAUGUUUUCAUUAAUCAAGAAUGAAAGUCGGAGGUUCGAAGACGAUCAGAUACCGUGGUAGUUCUGACCAUAAACGAUGCCGACUGGCAACGUGGCGGUGUUAUUCCCAUGACCCGCUGGGCAGCUUCCAAGAAACCAAAGUCUUUGGGUUUUUAGGUUCCGGGGGGAGUACGGUUGCAAAGCUGAAACUUAAAGGAAUUGGUGGAAGGGCACCACCAGGAGUGGAGCCUGCGGCUUAAUUUGACUCAACAUGGGAAAAAUCCCCCGGGCCGGACAGGGACAGGAUUGACAGAUUGAUAGCUGUUUCUCUGUUCCAUGGGUGGUGGUGCAUGGCCUUAGUUGGUGGAGUGAUUUGUCUGGUUAAUUCCAAUAACCAACGAGACUCUGGCAUGCUAACUAGUUACGUGACCCCCGAGCGGUCGGCG